GCCGGUGUGGCGGAAUUGGCAGACGCGCGGGACUCAAAAUCCCGUAUCCUCUGGAUGUGCCGGUUCGACCCCGGCCACCGGUA
This 83-nucleotide transfer RNA is filed under the name Psychrobacillus insolitus. Its description in RNAcentral is "Bacillus insolitus tRNA". It matches the Rfam family "tRNA". Rfam says of the family: Transfer RNA (tRNA) molecules are approximately 80 nucleotides in length. Their secondary structure includes four short double-helical elements and three loops (D, anti-codon, and T loops). Further hydrogen bonds mediate the characteristic L-shaped molecular structure. tRNAs have two regions of fundamental functional importance: the anti-codon, which is responsible for specific mRNA codon recognition, and the 3' end, to which the tRNAs corresponding amino acid is attached (by aminoacyl-tRNA synthetases). tRNAs cope with the degeneracy of the genetic code in two manners: having more than one tRNA (with a specific anti-codon) for a particular amino acid; and 'wobble' base-pairing, i.e. permitting non-standard base-pairing at the 3rd anti-codon position. RNAcentral also lists the same sequence under 7 other names. The record is from Rfam by way of RNAcentral. Lineage: Bacteria; Bacillati; Bacillota; Bacilli; Caryophanales; Bacillaceae.